GGGGAAUAUUGGACAAUGGGCGAAAGCCUGAUCCAGCCAUGCCGCGUGUGUGAAGAAGGUCUUCGGAUUGUAAAGCACUUUAAGUUGGGAGGAAGGGCAGUAAAUUAAUACUUUGCUGUUUUGACGUUACCGACAGAAUAAGCACCGGCUAACUCUGUGCCAGCAGCCGCGGUAAUACAGAGGGUGCAAGCGUUAAUCGGAAUUACUGGGCGUAAAGCGCGCGUAGGUGGUUCGUUAAGUUGGAUGUGAAAUCCCCGGGCUCAACCUGGGAACUGCAUUCAAAACUGACGAGCUAGAGUAUGGUAGAGGGUGGUGGAAUUUCCUGUGUAGCGGUGAAAUGCGUAGAUAUAGGAAGGAACACCAGUGGCGAAGGCGACCACCUGGACUGAUACUGACACUGAGGUGCGAAAGCGUGGGGAGCAAA
Molecule: ribosomal RNA, 424 nt
Filed under: uncultured bacterium
Lineage: Bacteria
Description: bacterial SSU rRNA
Rfam family: Bacterial small subunit ribosomal RNA
Source: RNAcentral